GACGAACGCUGGCGGCGUGCUUAACACAUGCAAGUCGAACGGAAAGGCCUGCUUUCCCUUGUGGAUUGCGGGUACUCGAGUGGCGAACGGGUGAGUAACACGUGAGUGAUCUGCCCCCAACUUGGGUAUAAGCCUGGGAAACUGGGUCUAAUUCCCGAUAGGACUGCAGGGUGGUGCCUGUGGUGGAACACGAUUUUCUAGUGGUUGGGGAUGAGCUCGCGGCCUAUCAGCUUGUUGGUGGGGUAAUGGCCUACCAAGGCGGCGACGGGUAGCCGGCCUGAGAGGGUGGACGGCCACAUUGGGACUGAGAUACGGCCCAGACUCCUACGGGAGGCAGCAGUGGGGAAUAUUACACAAUGGGCGGAAGCCUGAUGCAGCGACGCCGCGUGGGGGAUGACGGCCUUCGGGUGGUAAACUCCUUUCGACCGCGAGGAAGCCACCUGGUUGGAAGGGUGGUGACGGUAGUGGUAGAAGAAGCACCGGCUAACUACGUG
This 494-nucleotide ribosomal RNA is filed under the name uncultured bacterium. Its description in RNAcentral is "partial 16S ribosomal RNA". It matches the Rfam family "Bacterial small subunit ribosomal RNA", at positions 28 to 507 of the family's 1533-position model. The record is from RNAcentral.